RNAcentral lists this ribosomal RNA (426 nucleotides) under uncultured bacterium. RNAcentral describes it as "bacterial SSU rRNA". It matches the Rfam family "Bacterial small subunit ribosomal RNA", at positions 354 to 796 of the family's 1533-position model. The record is from RNAcentral.
GUGGGGGAUAUUGCACAAUGGGGGGAACCCUGAUGCAGCGACGCCGCGUGGAGGAAGAAGUAUCUCGGUAUGUAAACUCCUAUCAGCAGGGAAGAAGACAGACGGUACCUGACCAAGAAGCCCCGGCUAACUACGUGCCAGCAGCCGCGGUAAUACGUAGGGGGCGAGCGUUAUCCGGAUUUACUGGGUGUAAAGGGAGCGUAGACGGCCAUGCGAGCCUGAUGUGAAAGGCGUGGGCACAACCCGCGGACUGCAUCGGGGACUGCAUGGCUGGAGUGCCGGAGGGGCAGGCGGAAUUCCUGGUGUAGCGGUGAAAUGCGUAGAUAUCAGGAGGAACACCGGUGGCGAAGGCGGCCUGCUGGACGGCGACUGACGUUGAGGCUCGAGAGCGUGGGGAGCGAACAGGAUUAGAAACCCUAGUAGUCC